This 464-nucleotide ribosomal RNA is filed under the name Vreelandella stevensii. RNAcentral's name for it is "partial 16S ribosomal RNA". It matches the Rfam family "Bacterial small subunit ribosomal RNA", at positions 338 to 794 of the family's 1533-position model. Lineage: Bacteria; Pseudomonadati; Pseudomonadota; Gammaproteobacteria; Oceanospirillales; Halomonadaceae. The record is from RNAcentral.
CCUACGGGAGGCAGCAGUGGGGAAUAUUGGACAAUGGGCGAAAGCCUGAUCCAGCCAUGCCGCGUGUGUGAAGAAGGCCUUCGGGUUGUAAAGCACUUUCAGUGGGGAAGAAAGCCUUGGGGCUAAUACCCUCGAGGAAGGACAUCACCCACAGAAGAAGCACCGGCUAACUCCGUGCCAGCAGCCGCGGUAAUACGGAGGGUGCGAGCGUUAAUCGGAAUUACUGGGCGUAAAGCGCGCGUAGGCGGUCUGAUAAGCCGGUUGUGAAAGCCCCGGGCUCAACCUGGGAACGGCAUCCGGAACUGUCAGGCUAGAGUGCAGGAGAGGAAGGUAGAAUUCCCGGUGUAGCGGUGAAAUGCGUAGAGAUCGGGAGGAAUACCAGUGGCGAAGGCGGCCUUCUGGACUGACACUGACGCUGAGGUGCGAAAGCGUGGGUAGCAAACAGGAUUAGAUACCCCUGUAGU